This 312-nucleotide ribosomal RNA is filed under the name uncultured bacterium. RNAcentral describes it as "bacterial SSU rRNA". It matches the Rfam family "Bacterial small subunit ribosomal RNA", at positions 28 to 334 of the family's 1533-position model. The record is from RNAcentral.
GAUGAACGCUAGCGACAGGCUUAACACAUGCAAGUCGAGGGGCAGCACGGUGUAGCAAUACAUUGGUGGCGACCGGCGCACGGGUGAGUAACGCGUAUGCAACCUACCUAUCAGAGGGGAAUAACCCGGCGAAAGUCGGACUAAUACCGCAUAAAACAGGGGUUCCACAUGGAAAUAUUUGUUAAAGAUUUAUCGCUGAUAGAUAGGCAUGCGUUCCAUUAGAUAGUUGGUGGGGUAACGGCCCACCAAGUCCGCGAUGGAUAGGGGUUCUGAGAGGAAGGUCCCCCACAUUGGUACUGAGACACGGCCCAA